CCUACGGGAGGCAGCAGUGGGGGAUAUUGCACAAUGGGGGGAACCCUGAUGCAGCGACGCCGCGUGGGUGAAGAAGCGCCUCGGCGCGUAAAGCCCUGUCAGCAGGGAAGAAAAUGACGGUACCUGAAGAAGAAGCCCCGGCUAACUAAGUGCCAGCAGCCGCGGUAAUACGUAGGGGGCAAGCGUUAUCCGGAUUUACUGGGUGGAAAGGGGGCGCAGACGGCGAUGCAAGCCAGGGGUGAAAGCCCGGGGCCCAACCCCGGGACUGCUCUUGGAACUGCGUGGCUGGAGUGCAGGAGGGGCAGGCGGAAUUCCUGGUGUAGCGGUGAAAUGCGUAGAUAUCAGGAGGAACACCGGUGGCGAAGGCGGCCUGCUGGACUGCAACUGACGUUGAGGCCCGAAAGCGUGGGGAGCAAACAGGAUUAGAUACCCCAGUAGUC
This 440-nucleotide ribosomal RNA is filed under the name uncultured bacterium. RNAcentral describes it as "partial 16S ribosomal RNA". It matches the Rfam family "Bacterial small subunit ribosomal RNA", at positions 338 to 795 of the family's 1533-position model. The record is from RNAcentral.